GAUGAAGAACGCAGCGAAAUGCGAUAAGUAGUGUGAAUUGCAGAAUUCAGUGAAUCAUCGAAUCUUUGAACGCACAUUGCGCCCUUUGGUAUUCCUUAGGGCAUGCCUGUUCGAGCGUCAUUUAAACCUUCAAGCUCAGCUUGGUGUUGGGUGACUGUCCGCUUCACCGCGGACUCGCCUCAAAAUUAUUGGCGGCCGGUACAUUGGCUUCGAGCGCAGCAGAAACGCGAACUCGGGCCCGUCGUAUUGGCUCCCAGAAGCUAUCUUCACAAUUUUGACCUCGGAUCAGGUAGGGAUACCCGCUGAACUUAAGCGUAUCAAUAAGCGGAGGA
Molecule: unclassified non-coding RNA, 332 nt
Filed under: soil metagenome
Description: partial contains 5.8S ribosomal RNA, internal transcribed spacer 2, and large subunit ribosomal RNA
Rfam family: 5.8S ribosomal RNA (bases 1-120)
Source: RNAcentral